GACCAGACUCCUACGGGAGGCAGCAGUGGGGAAUAUUGCACAAUGGGGGAAACCCUGAUGCAGCGACGCCGCGUGAGUGAAGAAGUAUUUCGGUAUGUAAAGCUCUCUCAGUAGGGAAGAAAAUGACGGUACCUGACUAAGAAGCCCCGGCUAACUACGUGCCAGCAGCCGCGGUAAUACGUAGGGGGCAAGCGUUAUCCGGAUUUACUGGGUGUAAAGGGAGCGUAGACGGUAGAGCAAGUCUGAAGUGAAAGCCCGCGGCUCAACUGCGGGACUGCUUUGGAAACUGUUCAACUGGAGUGCUGGAGAGGUGAGCGGAAUUCCUAGUGUAGCGGUGAAAUGCGUAGAUAUUAGGAGGAACACCAGUGGCGAAGGCGGCCUGCUGGACUGCAACUGACGUCGAGGCUCGAAGGCGUGGGGAGCAAACAGGAUUAGAUACCCCUGUAGC
This 448-nucleotide ribosomal RNA is filed under the name uncultured bacterium. Its description in RNAcentral is "bacterial SSU rRNA". It matches the Rfam family "Bacterial small subunit ribosomal RNA", at positions 329 to 794 of the family's 1533-position model. The record is from RNAcentral.